UUGCACCGAGCGGAUGAGUUGCGAACGGGUGAGUAACGCGUAGGUAACCUGCCUCUUAGCGGGGGAUAACUAUUGGAAACGAUAGCUAAUACCGCAUAAAAGUCGAUAUCGCAUGAUAUUGAUUUGAAAGGUGCCAUUGCAUCACUAAGAGAUGGACCUGCGUUGUAUUAGCUAGUUGGUGAGGUAACGGCUCACCAAGGCGACGAUACAUAGCCGACCUGAGAGGGUGAUCGGCCACACUGGGACUGAGACACGGCCCAGACUCCUACGGGAGGCAGCAGUAGGGAAUCUUCGGCAAUGGGGGCAACCCUGACCGAGCAACGCCGCGUGAGUGAAGAAGGUUUUCGGAUCGUAAAGCUCUGUUGUAAGAGAAGAACGAGUGUGAGAGUGGAAAGUUCACACUGUGACGGUAACUUACCAGAAAGGGACGGCUAACUACGUGCCAGCAGCCGCGGUAAUACGUAGGUCCCGAGCGUUAUCCGGAUUUAUUGGGCGUAAAGCGAGCGCAGGCGGUUAGAUAAGUCUGAAGUUAAAGGCUGUGGCUUAACCAUAGUACGCUUUGGAAACUGUUUAACUUGAGUGCAGAAGGGGAGAGUGGAAUUCCAUGUGUAGCGGUGAAAUGCGUAGAUAUAUGGAGGA
RNAcentral lists this ribosomal RNA (639 nucleotides) under uncultured Bacilli bacterium. RNAcentral describes it as "bacterial SSU rRNA". It matches the Rfam family "Bacterial small subunit ribosomal RNA", at positions 78 to 705 of the family's 1533-position model. Lineage: Bacteria; Bacillati; Bacillota; Bacilli. The record is from RNAcentral.